RNAcentral lists this microRNA (22 nucleotides) under Magallana gigas (Pacific oyster). RNAcentral describes it as "Mgi-Mir-2-o60_5p* (star (passenger))". Lineage: Eukaryota; Metazoa; Mollusca; Bivalvia; Ostreida; Ostreidae. The record is from RNAcentral.
UUGUCAAAGUGGUGGUGAUGUG